CUAUCUGCUCAUGAAAUUAAAUAGCCGCAGAAUUUUUACUGUGCUAAGGUAGCAUAAUCACUAGUCUCUUAAUUAGAAACUCGAAUGAAAGAUCUAACAUUUUAUUGACUUUUUUAGAUUAAUUUUCAAAACUUAUACUAAGUAUAAAAAUAUACUUAUUCAAAAAACAGACGACAAGACCCUAUCGAACUUAACCGAUGUUUAGCUGGGGCAGCUAAUUAAACACAAUUUUAAUUAAUACUAUAAAAAAAAAUUAACCCAAUACAAUUGAAAUUGAACAAGUUACCGUAGGGAUAACAGCGUAAUUUAUUUUCUAAGCUCUUAUUUAAAAAUAAGAUUACGACCUCGAUGUUGAAUUAUAUCUCCUCUCAGCGCAAUAGCCUUCAAGGAAGGUCUGUUCGACCUUUAAACUUUUACAUGAUCU
This 424-nucleotide ribosomal RNA is filed under the name Ero juhuaensis. Its description in RNAcentral is "partial large subunit ribosomal RNA". It matches the Rfam family "Bacterial large subunit ribosomal RNA", at positions 1855 to 2606 of the family's 2925-position model. The record is from RNAcentral. Lineage: Eukaryota; Metazoa; Arthropoda; Arachnida; Araneae; Mimetidae.